Molecule: long non-coding RNA, 839 nt
Filed under: Gallus gallus (chicken)
Lineage: Eukaryota; Metazoa; Chordata; Aves; Galliformes; Phasianidae
Source: RNAcentral
UUAAGAAUAGCUUUUGUGCUCAAUCCACUUUCCAAAGAUCAAAAACCAGUUAAGAUGUAAAGAAUUAGAAGAUUAAUAUUUUAUGACUCUGGAUCUGUGGCAUUUCUCACAUAGAACAAAAAUCGGUGACAGUCAACAUAAGCAUUCAUGUAAAUCAUGUUCAAACACACCUUGGAAUCUGCCCUUCCCAUCCAGUACAACACUUGAAGCAAUGUUUAACUUUACACUGACAAUAUAUUAACGUCUCAAUUGACCCUACUGAGCAUCAACCCAUUUUUUCUUCAGCUCAGAACAGAGAGAGUACCUGUUAAAGGCACUAGGGCAGAAUGUUACUAGCCAUUUCCAGUUGAAACCCAAGGUUACUACAUCAAAGUCAAUUUCCCUUUAACAAGUUUAAAAGUGGGACCUCUGCAAUAAAAGAAACACAAAGACAGCCCUCCCACACUUUGUGUAACAUACUAAAAGCCAUUUUAAUGUAAAAAGUCACUUCCCUGUACUGUACAUUUCACACUCACAAUUUCAAACAAGGGGCAAGUCCUAUUAAGGCAGGGAGCUGGUAUUGGUUAACAUUGCAGUACUCAGACAGUGAUGUACAAGACAUUUAUUUGCAGUAUGAUGACAAUGAUAUAAAUGGAAAAACAAAAAACUGUCAUGGUUAGUAUUAAAACUGUUCUGACAGCAAUUCACAUAACCUCUGAGAUACAGCUUCUUUACUUGUUCGUAGUGUGAGUCUAUACAUCUGUGCCUGGAGGUUGGGUUCAAGGCGCAGCAAGCAUCCAAUCUGAGUAGUCUUUGUAUGUAUGAUACCAGCACCAACAAAGUUAGCAGGAUUGGGAUCC